GACGAACGCUGGCGGCGUGCUUAACACAUGCAAGUCGAACGCGCUUUGCUCCUUCGGGAGCAAAGUGAGUGGCGAACGGGUGAGUAACACGUGAGCAACCUGCCCUUGACUCUGGAAUAACAGCUGGAAACAGCUGCUAAUACCGGAUACGACCUCCGAUGGCAUCAUCUGGAGGUGGAAAGCUCCGACGGUCAAGGAUGGGCUCGCGGCCUAUCAGCUUGUUGGUGAGGUAACGGCUCACCAAGGCUUCGACGGGUAGCCGGCCUGAGAGGGCGACCGGCCACACUGGGACUGAGAUACGGCCCAGACUCCUACGGGAGGCAGCAGUGGGGAAUAUUGCACAAUGGGCGCAAGCCUGAUGCAGCAACGCCGCGUGCGGGAUGACGGCCU
RNAcentral lists this ribosomal RNA (390 nucleotides) under uncultured bacterium. RNAcentral's name for it is "bacterial SSU rRNA". It matches the Rfam family "Bacterial small subunit ribosomal RNA", at positions 28 to 417 of the family's 1533-position model. The record is from RNAcentral.